AGCCCCUGGCAAUGGACAAAGAGACACCUUGUUGGUGGCAUUCUUAUAUCAGUCUGGGCAGAGCAGAUGGCAGUCCUUUGUUCAUACUAGUUCGAUGCCUAGCUUGGUGGCCAAAGCUGUUUUGUGCCUAGGACAUUUGA
This is a non-coding RNA of Mus musculus (house mouse), 140 nucleotides long. Lineage: Eukaryota; Metazoa; Chordata; Mammalia; Rodentia; Muridae. The record is from Rfam.